Molecule: ribosomal RNA, 490 nt
Filed under: uncultured soil bacterium
Lineage: Bacteria
Description: bacterial SSU rRNA
Rfam family: Bacterial small subunit ribosomal RNA
Source: RNAcentral
AGAUUGAACGCUGGCGGCAUGCCUUACACAUGCAAGUCGAACGGCAGCACGGGAGCAAUCCUGGUGGCGAGUGGCGAACGGGUGAGUAAUACAUCGGAACGUGCCCAAUCGUGGGGGAUAACGCAGCGAAAGCUGUGCUAAUACCGCAUAAGAUCUACGGAUGAAAGCAGGGGAUCGCAAGACCUUGCGCGAAUGGAGCGGCCGAUGGCAGAUUAGGUAGUUGGUGAGGUAAAGGCUCACCAAGCCUUCGAUCUGUAGCUGGUCUGAGAGGACGACCAGCCACACUGGGACUGAGACACGGCCCAGACUCCGUACGGGAGGCAGCAGUGGGGAAUUUUGGACAAUGGGCGAAAGCCUGAUCCGAGCCAUGCCGCGUGCAGGAUGAAGCCUUGGUGUAAACUGCUUUGUACGGAACGAAAGUCUACUUCUAAUAAAGAGGAUACGAGUAGACGGUAACGUAAGAAAUAAGACACCGGACUAACUACGUACG